Molecule: ribosomal RNA, 256 nt
Filed under: uncultured bacterium
Lineage: Bacteria
Description: partial 16S ribosomal RNA
Rfam family: Bacterial small subunit ribosomal RNA
Source: RNAcentral
UAAUACAGAGGGUGCGAGCGUUAAUCGGAAUUACUGGGCGUAAAGGGUGCGUAGGUGGUUGAAUAAGUUAGGUGUGAAAUUCCUGGGCUUAACCUGGGGACUGCGCCUAAUACUGUUUAGCUAGAGUAUUGUAGAGGAAAGUGGAAUUUCCGGUGUAGCGGUGAAAUGCGUAGAUAUCGGAAGGAACAUCAGUGGCGAAGGCGACUUUCUGGACAAAUACUGACACUGAGGCACGAAAGCAUGGGGAGCAAACAGG